GGGGAAUUUUCCGCAAUGGGCGAAAGCCUGACGGAGCAAGACCGCGUGGGGGAUGAAGGUUUGUGGAUUGUAAACCCCUUUUGAUUGGGAAGAAUACUGACGGUACCAAUCGAAUAAGCCUCGGCUAACUCCGUGCCAGCAGCCGCGGUAAUACGGAGGAGGCAAGCGUUAUCCGGAAUUAUUGGGCGUAAAGCGUCCGUAGGUGGUUUAGUAAGUCUGCUGUUAAAGCGCGGGGCUUAACUCCGUAUCGGCAGUGGAAACUACUAGACUAGAGUGUGGUAGGGGUAGAGGGAAUUCCCAGUGUAGCGGUGAAAUGCGUAGAUAUUGGGAAGAACACCGGUGGCGAAAGCGCUCUACUGGGCCAUAACUGACACUGAUGGACGAAAGCUAGGGGAGCGAAAGGGAUUAGAUACNCCCUGUAGUC
This 424-nucleotide ribosomal RNA is filed under the name uncultured cyanobacterium. RNAcentral's name for it is "bacterial SSU rRNA". It matches the Rfam family "Bacterial small subunit ribosomal RNA", at positions 356 to 795 of the family's 1533-position model. Lineage: Bacteria; Bacillati; Cyanobacteriota. The record is from RNAcentral.